UACAUAGGUCUCAAGCGUUGUUCGGAUUCAUUGGGCGUAAAGGGUUCGUAGGCGGCUCGGUAAGUCGGGUGUGAAAUCUCGGAGCUUAACUCCGAAACUGCAUUCGAUACUGCCGUGCUUGAGGACUGGAGAGGAGACUGGAAUUUACGGUGUAGCGGUGAAAUGCGUAGAUAUCGUAAGGAAGACCAGUGGCGAAGGCGGGUCUCUGGACAGUUCCUGACGCUGAGGCACGAAGGCCAGGGGAGCAAACGGG
This 253-nucleotide ribosomal RNA is filed under the name uncultured bacterium. Its description in RNAcentral is "partial 16S ribosomal RNA". It matches the Rfam family "Bacterial small subunit ribosomal RNA", at positions 524 to 776 of the family's 1533-position model. The record is from RNAcentral.